AGCUCGAGAGAACCUUAAACUCAUCCAUUUCGUGAUAGAUAAAAUUUAAACAAAAGAACAAUUGAAUUUCAUGGCCGAGAAAAUUCGAGCAAGAAAACCUGUCAAUUUCAAGAUAGAGAAAAUUGGAGCAUGAGAACCAGUUGAGCGCAUUGAUUUCAAUACUCGAGCAAGAGAACCUGUUUCAAUUCAAGCAAAGAAAAGAUAUAAUUGAUUGCAGUACUGGAGCAAGAAAACCUGCUUCAAUUCAAGCAAAUGAAAAUAUAUAAUGAAAUGCUAAUCCUAUUUCCUAAUAUGUUUGUUUUUUAACUCCUAGAGGGGCUUUACAGUUAACCUUAUCCAAAGAUACAAAAAUUCAUUUAGGCAUUUCAAGAUUCUUAUUUUAAGUUUAGGAGCAAAAUUCGUUCUCAAUCACCAUCUGAUUUCGACAACAUUAACAUAAUUAUCAUUGAGGAUGAGGCUUAGAUAGAUAGCACGCAAGUAUGCAAUGUUAAUUUCUUAUAUUAAUUUUUAAAAUAUUCAAGAAUGGACAAGUUGCCGCGAAUGCAAAUUUAAAAUGUUAAAAAUUCAUAGGUUAAAAAUAAACGUACUCAUAGUUAUAAUUU
Molecule: long non-coding RNA, 602 nt
Filed under: Amborella trichopoda
Lineage: Eukaryota; Viridiplantae; Streptophyta; Magnoliopsida; Amborellales; Amborellaceae
Description: long non-coding RNA (ATRI_LNC002052)
Source: RNAcentral